ACAAUUAAACGGCCGCGGUACCCUAACCGUGCAAAGGUAGCAUAAUCAUUUGUCUACUAAUUAUAGACCUGCAUGAAAGGCAAAAUGAGGAUCUAACUGUCUCUUAUAAUGAAUCAAUUAAACUGAUCUCCUAGUAAAAAAGCUAGGAUUACCACAUAAGACCAGAAGACCCUGUGAAGCUUAAACUAAACCAUUAAACCAUAUAAUAACUACUUUCGGUUGGGGCGACCUUGGAAAAAAAAAGAACUUCCAAUAWCCAKGAUUAUUCAUCAUCACCAGGCCCACAAGCCAACAAAUGACCCAGCAUAGCUGAUCAAUGAACCAAGUUACUCCAGGGAUAACAGCGCAAUCCUCUUCAAGAGUCCAUAUCAAAAAGAGGGUUUACG
This 386-nucleotide ribosomal RNA is filed under the name Chironius fuscus. RNAcentral's name for it is "partial 16S ribosomal RNA". It matches the Rfam family "Bacterial large subunit ribosomal RNA", at positions 1919 to 2522 of the family's 2925-position model. Lineage: Eukaryota; Metazoa; Chordata; Lepidosauria; Squamata; Colubridae. The record is from RNAcentral.